This is a non-coding RNA of Podarcis lilfordi (Lilford's wall lizard), 509 nucleotides long. The record is from the annotation of a GenBank genome assembly. NCBI's taxonomy places the organism in Eukaryota, Metazoa, Chordata, Lepidosauria, Squamata, Lacertidae.
GUGGGAUUGGAGGGGGCGGCGGAGGGGGGUGGAGGAGGAGGAGGUGAAGGGAAGGUGGCCGGAGAGCGGAGGAGGCACCGUCGGCUGCUGGGCUGGGAUCAUGUCUUUAUUGAUUGUUAUGCAAACGAGCUGGGGUGACUGACGGGCCCCGUCUCUCCCCGCAGCGUGUGUUGUGUGGUGUCUUUUGAACACAACAAAACAAAAAACCCUCGCACGCACAGACAGUCCUCUCUCUCGCGCGCGCGGAUCCUCUUUCCCUCCUUCUGCGUAGACUUUUCCCCCGAAAUGACUUUCUUUCUUUCAGUUGCGACGGUUCCCGGGGAGGACGACGACGACGACGACGAUGCAAAGGAAGAGGCUGCCUGAGAAGACUUCGCCGUGUGCCGAGAUGCCCCCCCAAGAGGAUUAGAGGGCAGCGCUUCCCCCCCUUCCCUCCCCCUGACCCCCCGGGCUACCCAGCACCCGGCCCGGCCCCCCCGACGGCUCCCGUGGCCCUCCUCCCCGCCCUG